CAGUCGCCACGGGAAUACGGAGGGUACAAGCGUUAAUCGGAAUUACUGGGCGUAAAGGGUGCGUAGGCGGUCGUUUAAGUCUGUUGUGAAAUCCCCGGGCUCAACCUGGGAACUGCAUUUGAGACUGUAUGGCUAGAGUGUGUCAGAGGGGGGUAGAAUUCCACGUGUAGCAGUGAAAUGCGUAGAUAUGAGGAGGAAUACCGAUGGCGAAGGCAGCCCCCUGGGAUAACACUGACGCUCGUGCACGAAAGCGUGGGGAGCAAACAGGAUUAGAUACCCGGGUAGUCCCUGUCUCUUAUAC
Molecule: ribosomal RNA, 301 nt
Filed under: uncultured bacterium
Lineage: Bacteria
Description: partial 16S ribosomal RNA
Rfam family: Bacterial small subunit ribosomal RNA
Source: RNAcentral